This 108-nucleotide ribosomal RNA is filed under the name Halophila engelmannii. RNAcentral's name for it is "5.8S ribosomal RNA". It matches the Rfam family "5.8S ribosomal RNA", at positions 36 to 141 of the family's 154-position model. From Rfam's summary of the family: 5.8S ribosomal RNA (5.8S rRNA) is a component of the large subunit of the eukaryotic ribosome. It is transcribed by RNA polymerase I as part of the 45S precursor that also contains 18S and 28S rRNA. The record is from RNAcentral. Lineage: Eukaryota; Viridiplantae; Streptophyta; Magnoliopsida; Alismatales; Hydrocharitaceae.
AUGAAGAACGUAGCGAAAUGCGAUACUUGGUGUGAAUUGCAGAAUCCCGUGAACCAUCGAGUCUUUGAACGCAAGUUGCGCCCGGAGCCGUCAGGCCGAGGGCACGUC